GAUCACAGUGGACCUUGCUUCUCUUCUAAUAAUGAUUGGACUCUUCAUGUGUCAGCGGAGAAGAUGGUGUGUCCGUGACAGAACAGGUCUGUAAGGGAGAGAGAAGCAAAGAAAUGAGAUGACAGCCUGGAAUCAGAGAGAACUGUCCCUGUUCUUACCCAGUGCAUAGCUCAGACAACUCCAGCAGGUGUUCUUUCAUCAAUGUGUCUACACUUCAACAACAGUUCAACUCUGG
Thalassophryne amazonica is the source of this 235-nucleotide long non-coding RNA. RefSeq lists it as uncharacterized. NCBI's taxonomy places the organism in Eukaryota, Metazoa, Chordata, Actinopteri, Batrachoidiformes, Batrachoididae. The record is from RefSeq and is a predicted model, not a curated record. The transcript is spliced from 3 exons.